GUGCCUCCCAGUAGCCCACUUUUCAGGGCCACCCAACAUUUUGGUAUCUUUAGUAAUGGUGGAGAUGUUUUAUACCUUCCCUGAAGAGGUUAUGGAGAAGAUAAUAUCAGAACCAUGACAUCUGUGUGAACUGUACAGUUUCCAGACAGAGUGGGAGAAGGUGUGUUCGGAAAUCAAACACUCCACAAGGCAGGUUGGAACACCCUGAGUUUCCUGAAGCUGUGGUGAGACUUCCCCAGAGCUAUCAGCAACCAAGAAAAGGACUGAUCAGCAAGAGGAUCCAAAGCGCACCAAUCAAGCAACCCCAAGAGAUUUUAAAAAUCCCUGGGUGGGACACACCCGUGGUCUUUCGAGGGUAUCUCGUGUCUGGAGAAACACCUUGUUACACGGUAGUGUUACAGUUACCUCUGGCUUUUCCCGCAGGCCCUAGGCUUGCCCUGAGACCUCAUCUUCUGUUGUUCUAAACAUGCACUUUUUUUUUUUUUGUAAGUCAUCAGCCUCCUAUUAAUUUCAUUUUGCCUGUUUACUACAACAGUGAUUUCAGGUUUGAACUGUGAAAACUGUUGUGUUGAUUUCAGACCAGAGGAAGAGAACAAUUUCCAUCAUCCAUCCUUUUUUUCUCCACCUCUUCCAAAUGGUGUUAUAUAAUUGUUUUCUUUUUCCUUCUUCUUUCAUGGUCAGACAAAGAUUUACUAUAAAAACAUCAGUUUACCCAAGAAAGCAUGUUCUCUUUUCCACUACUUGAAUGAGGAUGGUUAUUGCUCUCCAUGGGGCUCAGAAUUAGAAUCAGAUUGGCCAUGUGGCAGAAAGCUGGACAUAUGUGAGAGCCGAACACCCACACACCCCUGCUUUUUGUGGUAGGAUGGCUCAUGCUCCUCUUUUCUCAAAGCAUUUUCACCUCUUUCUCCUUGUAAUUGUAUAUCCUAUUAUUUGUCCAGCACAAAUACAAUUAAAAUCUAAAUCUCAGAA
Taeniopygia guttata (zebra finch) is the source of this 969-nucleotide non-coding RNA. The record is from RefSeq and is a predicted model, not a curated record. Lineage: Eukaryota; Metazoa; Chordata; Aves; Passeriformes; Estrildidae.